RNAcentral lists this long non-coding RNA (1523 nucleotides) under Mytilus galloprovincialis (Mediterranean mussel). The record is from RNAcentral. Lineage: Eukaryota; Metazoa; Mollusca; Bivalvia; Mytilida; Mytilidae.
CUUUGUUGUACAUAAAUGUGUAUUGAAAUUUACUUUAAUCUUUAGUAUUUUGGUGAAUAUCUUUUUAUGUUUGUUUUUUAUUUUAUUUUUAUGAGCCUCUCUGUAAUUAGGGUGAAUGUCAUAUAUAUUACUAGUUGAACUGAUACACUGUAAAUGUGUUUCUUCUAUGUCAAAUGACUUAAAACUAUUUUAAUAUACCUUCAACAGGACCAUAGUAUAUCAUAUGCCUGGACUAUAUAUGUAGUCUCAAGCAAUCAUGUCUGGAGUAUUAUGGUAUUAUUUUUUUGUAUAUAAUUUAGUCAGGGUGUUUUUUGUAGCUUAUUUCACAUUUUUCUUAUUUUUUAUUUUUACAAACCGGUGAUGUAUAACCAACAAUAUGUGCCAUAUAAAAUAUGUUCUUCAAUGUGCUUAUAUUAAUGUGUCUCUUGUUUUUCAAAAAAAAUAUAUGGUGCACCAGCAUACAUAAAAGUGAUUUUACCUUUCAACUUCUCUAAUGUUUUAUAGUUUCAAGUUGUGCAAUCUACUGAAUUCCUUCUGACAGUUAAUAAAAUAGAAAUAUUAGAACUCUUUAAAACAAAGUUGAUAGUCCCUUUAUAUUUGUUUUUUGUGAAUAUUAUAAGAAUGUCUGUAUUGAUUAGCCGACAUAUUAAAAACAUUUUAGAGAUAAUUUGUGUUAAGACUAUUAUGAAAUAUAAAAUUGAGAAAGGAAAUGGGGAAUGUGUCAAAGCAACAACAACCCGACCAUAGAGCAGACAACAGCCUUGUAUGAGAUUAUAAAUACAUAAAUUAUAAAGAAAUAAUGUGUUAUAUCUAUGAUUAAUUUGAUACAUGUAAUAAUACAAAGCAUAUAUACAUGCUUUAUUCUUAUAGUGUCAAGAAAGUUUAGAUUUUCUAUUUGACAUAAUAGUAAAAUUCAUCUAUUUUAAGACAUCAGUUAAAAUAAUCUCACUUUUUUAUUUGAUUCACAUUUGAUUUCCUGCUAUUUGAUAAAUAGAACAAAACCCUGUAGAUGAAUCUGGAAUUUACUUGAAACUUUUGAUUUUGAUUUCGUUUCUCAAAAUUGAAAGUAGCUUAGGUGAUUCAAGAUAAGAUAACAGUUUUAAGUCAUUGAAAUAUUGAUUGUGAUUUCGUUUCUUUAAAUUCAAAGUAGCUUAGGUGAUUCCCGAGAAGUUAACAGUUUAAAGUCAUUGAAAUAAUUUCAGUUUUAUAUACUGUUGCAUACCAUAAAUCGUUCUUGAAUGUAUUUCAAAAAUGAAAGUUUCAUGAAGUAAAUUCUAUAAAAUGUUCAAUACAACUUCCAUGAUGUCGUGAAUGGUGGAUUUGACAGGUUUUAAAAAUUACCCCAACUUUCAAGUCAUCUAAAAAUUACUGAUAUUGUGUGAUAAAAUUUCUGGGUUCUUGAUCAAGGUAUAUUUCAUUUUUAAAACUCAGAUUUAAAUUUUUUCGCAAAUGCAUUUCACAACAAAAUCUUUAUCCUUCAAAUAGUAAACUUGAAAAUAAACACAAAUUACAAACACUAUUUG